UGGGGAAUAUUGGACAAUGGGCGCAAGCCUGAUCCAGCGAUACCGCGUGUGUGAAGAAGGCCUGCGGGUUGUAAAGCACUUUCAGUGGGGAGGAAAUGGUUGUUGUUAAUACCAGCAACAGUUGACGCUACCCAAAGAAGAAGCACCGGCUAACUCUGUGCCAGCAGCCGCGGUAAUACAGAGGGUGCAAGCGUUAAUCGGAAUUACUGGGCGUAAAGGGUGCGUAGGUGGUUGUUCAAGUUGGGUGUGAAAUCCCCGGGCUUAACCUGGGAACUGCAUUCAAAACUAAGCGACUAGAGUAGGAUAGAGGGAAGUGGAAUUUCCGGUGUAGCGGUGAAAUGCGUAGAUAUCGGAAGGAACAUCAGUGGCGAAGGCGGCUUCCUGGAUCCAUACUGACACU
Molecule: ribosomal RNA, 400 nt
Filed under: uncultured bacterium
Lineage: Bacteria
Description: bacterial SSU rRNA
Rfam family: Bacterial small subunit ribosomal RNA
Source: RNAcentral